CAAAUAGAUAUCAAAGCUAAGAGAUUUCAGUUUGGUGACCUGUCGUUAUUGGCCACUAGGUGACGGUAUUGGUUCCUAAAUGAAUACGUCCUAAAUAGUUCGGCACUGCAAUGGUUUGGAACCAGGUGGACAGCAGGGGGCAGCCUUUCUUAACCCUGACGCCAGCCCUGAAAGCUCAGCUCUGGGAAGCACCACGAGGAGGCUUAGGACUGGAGACUCGCAGUCAGGGUUAAUACUGAGCACUGGAUUGCAUGGAAUGGAAAAGACAAUCUCUGGUGUUUGCGCUUGGCCUUGAAAACAACUGAGUUGUUAUCGCCCACUUGGAAACCCAUUUGGAAGAGGACAAGCCACCUUCUCCUCACUUGAGGGACAUAGAAAAGAUUUUGUCCCAUGCCACCCUUAUGAACAAAGCUCUUCCUCAGCUUAUCUUGAGUAAAAGUAAAAUGACUCUAACCCUCUGGAAAAAUAUCCUGAUUUCCCUAUAAUUACCUAGAGCCUUUAGGUUAGAUUUUCAUUCUUCUUACUGUAAUGUCACCAUGAGGAGCUCUUUUUCUCUCUCACUGAGGUGUCACCUGUGGGCAGAUCAGUAGUGACAUCCACCCUGAAACUGUACUUAUUAUACCUGAACCUGCUCGUUAGGAAAAAAAUACUGAAAAAAAAGACUUAAAAAUAUUAAAAAAAAAAAAAGACAGCUGGGUGGUGGUGGCACACGCCUUUAGUCCCAGCACUCAGGAGGGAGAGGCAGGCCGAUCUCUGAGUUGGAGACUAGUUCCAGGACAGGGUGCAAAGCGAC
RNAcentral lists this long non-coding RNA (793 nucleotides) under Cricetulus griseus (Chinese hamster). RNAcentral's name for it is "lncRNA (ENSCGRG00000026371.1)". The record is from RNAcentral. Lineage: Eukaryota; Metazoa; Chordata; Mammalia; Rodentia; Cricetidae.